Molecule: long non-coding RNA, 1459 nt
Filed under: Microcebus murinus (gray mouse lemur)
Lineage: Eukaryota; Metazoa; Chordata; Mammalia; Primates; Cheirogaleidae
Description: lncRNA (ENSMICG00000048311.1)
Source: RNAcentral
CAAGGAGCUGCAGAAGCAUUUCCGUGGGGAAUGGUUCGCUAGCAUGCAGGACGUCACGCUGUUCUUCAAGAAGUACCUGACCCCCAACGAGCGAGCAGACCUGAUCAUGGUGGCCAUGGAGGCCAUGAGCAGCGCCGGCAGUCACGACAUCAGCGCGGCUUCCAAGAUGUUGAAGAUGGUCCUCAAGUACACCAUUCCGGAGAUUGGGAAGGUGCCGGAAAUCAUCCAGUACAUUCACUGCCACAUAAACAGCAUCACCGAGCCCACGGCCCAGAUGACCGUUAAGAAGAUCCUGUACCUGCUGGCCCAGUCCUACACAGACGAAGUCAUCCUGACGCUGUUCAAGAUAGAAGAUCAGUCCCAAAAAGGGGUCCACAACCCCUGGGAGAUCCUGGCAUCCUUCCCUAAAGGCUACGAAAUGAUCAUGGAGUACCUGCUGCAGAGGCUGACUCCGUACCAGCAAGUGCAGGCCCACGAUCCCGGCCGCAGACCCACCAUCUCCCCGCUGAUCGCCACCAGGGCCAUCUACGAGCUCCUGCAGGAACCGAGCCGCCGGAUCGAGGUGCAGACCUUCUUCUCCUCGCUGUUCUUGGCCCUGCUGUUCCAGGUCUCCUUCCUUGUGAUGGGAGGGGCUGCCGAAACCCUGCAGGAACUGCAUCACGUGGCCGAGUGGGCGGACCCUAUAAGGUACCUUUGGCCCCGAGACCCCCAUUUGCUAGUGACUGUGCUCCGGGCCGUCAGUUUAGCACCCUGGCCCGACUUGGUCCUCGCCUGCUGGGCCCGAACACGCCACCCCCUGUCGUGGGGGCACCUAGUGUGGCCCCCACAUCACUACAAGACGUCUCCCCGGACUCUUCGGAAAAGCCUCUCCGUGAGUCUGGCUCGCCAGGCUGCCGGGAGCUUCGGUACGGCGGCGAGCAGGCACGGCAGACGCUGCCACCACAGCACAGCUGGACCCGCAGCCGGGACUGCACGCCUACCCUCUGCCACUUCCCGCGUCCCCUUGGGGGAGCCCAAUCUCUCGUGGCUUUGUGAAAUGUCAGCCCGGGUCCCUCGCCAGGGCUGUCCCACCGCCAGCAGUUCCUGGUGCUAAGGGAGGCUCAGGUAGUCUCGGGUGGCCCGCGAGGGAGAGCAGGGCAGGCGCCGGUGACUCCGCUCUGCUCCCCGCCCUGCCCUAGUUCCACCGUGGAAGCCCUGAAGACCCUGGUACGCAGCUCCGGGUACGAGAACCUCGUGUCUUCCAUCGAGGAGCUUGGGGGCUGGGGGCUGCUCACCAGUCCCGAGAGGCACUACGAUGGCGUCGCUGUGGUGGCCAGGUGAGCUCGGCCUGGGCCCCGCUGCAGGCCCUCCCCUCCUCUCGGCCCUCCCCUGCGGCCCGGGCGAGCUCGCCCUGAGCGCCGUGCUCUCGUCCCCAGGUCCCUGGUGGACAACGACUGCUGGCACAACCGCCCCAUCUUCG